Molecule: long non-coding RNA, 333 nt
Filed under: Phasianus colchicus (ring-necked pheasant)
Lineage: Eukaryota; Metazoa; Chordata; Aves; Galliformes; Phasianidae
Description: lncRNA (ENSPCLG00000019605.1)
Source: RNAcentral
GCCAUCACAGAUAAUUUGCCGUGCACACACAGAGCUCACAUAUGUUUAUCCUCAUUGACAUUUACCUGGGAGGCUUUGCUGUGUUUUAGACAGGAGAUGAGUGGCCCUAUAUGUUUAAAAUGAAACUUACUGUGGAAGACAAAAAGGAAAAAGGCUACUGUAGCUAUGAGAGAAUCCACAGAUUUUCCCAAACUUUACUGAAGUAGUGAAGCCUAAAGCAGUGUCCCAGAUGACAAUCUGACCUACCCAGGUACUGUGAACUAAGCAAGAAUUCUUGUACCUCUAGCAUCAGGACGUUGCAGUCGUGGUGUCUUUCUUUCUACCUCUGCAUAU